Long non-coding RNA from Mytilus trossulus (common blue mussel), 3461 nucleotides. RefSeq lists it as uncharacterized. The transcript has 4 exons. The record is from RefSeq and is a predicted model, not a curated record. NCBI's taxonomy places the organism in Eukaryota, Metazoa, Mollusca, Bivalvia, Mytilida, Mytilidae.
AAAGGAAGUCUUCCUAAUAAAGGGAUAAUAUAUUAUUGACAUUGUUAGAUAAAUAAGAGAGAACUUAGGUAAAUAGUUUCCUGUAUAUCACUUCCUGUACAAGGGUUUGGAUUGGAGAACAGACUUUGUACAUGUAAUCUAAGUUGACAAAUCAAGCAGUGAAUUGAACUUGAAGAUUAGAAAGGAAUUGUGUUUCGUCCUUACACAGAAGAAAUAAACAACAUGAAUGUCUAUCGCCAACCAGCGCAGUGGGAAGACAAACGGACCAAAGAUUUACGGAAUCAAGUUACACUACUGAAUACACAUCUUGGUGUACAAAGGUCAAAGUUGUCAUCAACGAUACCAGAACUUGUGCAAUACUGUGAGAAGCACGCCGUACAGGAUCCUUUCCUAUUUCCUAUUAGAGACAAUCCUUUUAAACCAAUAAGACGACCGUGUUGUAUUAUAUAGGACGGGAUCAAAACAUGUGUGAAUGUGAUAAAUAUGUGAUUCAACAAAUGAUAGAAGUAACUGUAAUAUAUAUAUUUUCCAUGAAGAAAAAAAUUCUGUUGUUGUAGCUGUUUAAAUAGUAAAUCGUCAGUGGCAUAGCUGUUCAAGAUGUUUAUUGUCAGUGGCAUAGCUGUUCAAGAUGUUUAUUUUCAGUGGCUUAUAUAUAAUGCUAUUGAUUGCCUUCAAAACUCUGUCAAAAUUAUUAUAGUGCCAUCGCUAAAUAGAAAACCAAGAAAAUCUUUUGAAUUUUUUUUAUACUAAAAAUUGUUAAAAAAAAAUUAUAUAUAUUUAUUGCUUAAGAAAUCAUGCCAAACUAGAUAUUUGCUUGUGUGCCUUUAAGUGUGGGUGCUAAUAUAGACAUAUUUGAGAUCUUUAUUGUAUUCCUAUAAAAAUUUGUGAUUUGUGUGCUGUUUAUAUUUUUUUAUAUAAAUGUGAUUACUUUUUUUAUGAUAAAUCAUCUUUUUGACUAUUUACGCUAGUUAAAUUGCUUCUAAAUGAUAUUACAAAAAAAUAAAUAUUUCAUCUUUUUUACUAGCACUAGUAAUAUAUACCAGUUAAAAAUUAUUAAUGGUAUUAAAAAGUAAUAUUUUUUUUGGUAUCAAAUCCAAUAUUUAUUCAAAUUUAAAUUAAGCAAUUCCUUAAUGAUGAUAAACCAUAAGAUUCCAUUUUUUGUUAACUUUAAUAUGAAAAUUGUAUGCUAAAAAUCCUGAUUUAUUAAGACCAAAGAUGAUUCCAUUUGGGAAGAUUUGGGAACAAGGCACAUAGUAACUUUGGACAGCAAAUUUUGCUCAUUCUAUUUUGUGAAAUAUUUUUGCAUUUAAUUCGUUGAAUGUCACUGAAAGUACACAAUAUUAAAAUGUUGAUUAAUCAUCUGAUCAGCUUUCCUUUUUUUUCAAUACAGUAAAACUAUUUAUUUAUGUGGGUUUUGAAUUUUAGGGGCCAAAAUAAUUUCAAGAUUUUUUAUGCAUUUUUUUUGUCUUUUAUUUCAUAAAGAUCAAAUGAAAAUUCGUGUAUAUUUUCACGAUGUUGUCUUUAUGGAAAUGUGAUUAAAUUUUGGAUGUAACAUCUUCUGAUUGGCUGACAUUGUUUUGGUUAUCAGCUCAUAGAUAUAAUUUUGUCAUGUGACCUUGACGUUAUCAAGGUUUUUCAAGGUUUACUCCGGUUUAAAAUGGAAUUUUGAAUUAAAUUAUAAGAAAUCACAUAUAUAUGUUUUGGAAGUGUCAAUUAUCAUGAUACUUGUAAUUAUUUAAUCACUUUGAUCAGCUUGAACACUUUGUAAUUCUAAUAGCUAAAAAGAAAAAAAAAUGUAUUUAGCUAAUCUUUUUUUCAAAUCUAAUGAUAUAAUAUAUUGCAAUGAAAUAUAGACAUACUUUUUAAAGGAAAUCAUUUUUUUCUCAAAACUGUGGUUGUAAUUUGGCAUUUCAAAUCUAUAUUUUAUUUGUUCAGUAGAAUUAUACACACAUCAAAUUUCUAUUGGUUGGUUUAUAGAUUCUUUGUCCGACCCAUUUAUAGAAUCUAUGUAGGUAUUAAUGCAGGUUGAAAUCAGUUUUGCCACCUUUAAGUUUCCUAAGUUUAUUUUCAAGAAAUAGUGUUUAUGAAACAAUAACUAUGAAUAUUUCAGCAGAUCUUAUUUGAACACGAAUAGAUGAUACUGUUUAUUAUUAUGCUGCUACAUUUCCAUUCUGUUGGGCACAUUGUUAUAUAUUUAUAUGGUUUGUAUAUGAAAAUUAAUAUAUACUUAAAUAUAUAUGUUAUGUCAUUAAAAUGCUUUUAUUGUCAUUUACAUUUUUGUUGGUACAAAAGAAGGGGAGAAGGACUUUUAUAUUUCCUUUUGCUAUGGAUUUUUUUUUUACAAGUUAUAUAUCUUAAAAUUUAAGAUAUUCUAUUUACUUUCUGGCUUGAAAAACAUCUUUAGAAUACUAGACAAAAUUAAUUGUGUUAACAGUAGCCUGGGGUUCAGUGACUUUAGUGAAAAGAGCCCCUAGCUCACUCCCUUAACAGUAGAAAGCUUCAGUUCAGAUUAGUGCUGAAAAUAAUCACAUGAUAUCAUCCUAGCCUGGCUCUGCUAAUACUAAAAACACUACGGAGAUUAGACCAUGGUACCAGGCUAAUAAAAUGUAAAGUUAAACUUCACAGUCCUAGUUAUCUUUCUUAAAUCAGAUAAUUUUAGGAUGUAGACUACAUUUGAAUAGGAUAUUCCAAAAUAACAGUUUAUAAGGGUUUUUGCAGUUUCAUAUAAGGUAGAUUUUAGAGAUGCAUAUUGAAAACUAUUUUCAAGUUAGCUGAUUUUCUGAAAUUAAUCAGUUUUUCAAAAAUGAUAUAUAUGGAUGGUGAAGGGUGUUAUAUGUAAUGUACAAGAAAUAAUCAUUGUUUAUUUCUAUAAAUUUGCAACUUGAUUAACUUCACAACAUAUAAAUACAAUGUAUUUGUCUUAAUACAGUCAUGUUUUUGUAACAUAUUUUAUUAUCAUAACAUGCAAAGAACCUAAUGAUACGGAAUCAAAAUAUACUAUAGCAAAGAGCUUACACAUGUGCAAUGUUGUAAUUCAUAUUUGUAAAGGACUACUGUGCAAUGUAUAUUUAUGUGUAAACAAUUUUUCUGAUACCUUUUUGUUCGAAAGUCAAAUUUUACAAGUGAUCUGUUUUACUCUGAUUUUCUAGUGUAACAUUGCAAUUCUUUUACUUUAUCUACAUUGUAAAUUCAACUUGUUAAAUGAUAAAUUGUGCAUGAAGUAAAAACAACAUCCAUCUGAUUUGACCACAUUGUAUUAUUGUAAUUUUAAAGUACACUAGAAAAUGAUGAUAUAUGCACAAAUGACAUUGUCAUAAUGAAACUACAAUGUCAUAAUGAACAAACCACAAUGUCACAAUGAAAAAACACAAUUUCAUAUUAUAUUUGUUGACAAUAACCAGAGUAUUAAAAGUACCAAUGAUUGCCUUGUUUGAUUAUAGUGAUUAAAGUAAUACUGUUUA